This is a long non-coding RNA of Dermacentor andersoni, 3786 nucleotides long. RefSeq lists it as uncharacterized. The record is from RefSeq and is a predicted model, not a curated record. Lineage: Eukaryota; Metazoa; Arthropoda; Arachnida; Ixodida; Ixodidae.
UGCGCGACCCUCGCGCCUCCCCUGAUGUUUUUCCCGCAUAGCGCGCCUCCUGUAGUGCGGCUUCGCCGCGUGGCCUGCGUGAUGCCCGCGGCGGUCGAGUGGUACAGGCGCGGUGCGAGAGAUGGCGCGACUGUCGCGCUGCUGCGGGGUUACUUGGGCGCCGAAAGGGAAGGCGCUUGGUCUCUUUGGGUUCGGGAAGCGAGCGCGACGGACGUGCCGCGCCGACGAUGCUUCUGCGAGACCGCCUCGCGUGGCGGCCUUCGAGCGCGCCUCCGUUGGCGUGACCGAACACGCGAACGACCAGGCGUUGGGAUCCAGCAUGGGGCGAACAUAUUCGCUCGCUCGCGGUGAGUCGGACUUCUAGAUUUGUCGCGCGCCCAUCGGCAUGUUUUGUGGAUAGCCACUCGGCUAGCUGGCAUUGAUCUAUGAUAGGUGCAAUAAAUGCCCUUGUGAUUGUUUGCACUACUGUGUUGUCGUUCCUUUGUCCCAAGAGUACGGAGGAGAAACCCGCAUCUCCCCACAUCUGGCUGCCCAACGUGGACCUCUUGGGGCAUCGGACGAUAGAUUUAACAGUUUUGCUUCGUUCGAGACCUUUGAACCGAAGCAUAGGGCUAGCGUGGAUUUUGAUCGCUAGCGUUGGCGGCGUGCUUUCUUGAGCGAGGCGGCGGUGGCUGUAGUGUGCUUGAACACGUCAACAUGCUAAGCCUUUUCGCAAGUGUUUUUUUUUAAUGACAUUCGUCAGUACGAGAGCCACGUGGUCUGCAUCCUGGGAGAGCGAGGCUGAGCGCCCGCGGAGCAGUGGCAAGCCUGAAGCGAGUGAGUACGGAAGCCUCGUGGGUGGUCCGAAUUUCUUAUGUAAAUAGCUUCUUCUAUCUCUUUGACUCGGAUGAAGUCGCGGCUCUGGGAGCCGGGUGGCCGCGGGCCACGGGUGCCACGACGGGCUGACUGGUAUUGCGGCCUGGCACCGGGCGCUCCGACACCGUCUGGGACGGUGGGCGCCGUCAACUCGGAUGCUGUGUGCACCGAGCGGAGUAGGACCACCUCACAGAGCUAACGUCUCCUCGCGGCUGCCUGUUUUGCGCUCAUUUUGAGUGUUGUUUUUGGAUGCCGGUUGUUGUCAGAGUAGCGACGCUUUAGGCCUAAGGCUUUACGAAGCUGCCUGUCGCACGUGGAGGGACACAACCUGGUGGACCGUGGCGUUGAGGUGUUGCAAGUUGCUUCCCUCAUUCUAGUUAGCCUCGCACGAAUUGAAAUUACUCGUUCGACUCAAGAAAGCGAGCUUCGUUCACGUGAACUUAGCAUCUGAGUAGCUGCCCGAUCUUUUGCUAGCCGAGUUGAACAUCGUACCACGUGGGCGAUGCGCAUGCAGAAUUCCUCUCCCUUGCACUACUGUAGUGUUUGCCGAGUGUGUUGAGUUUACGCAGCGUGAUUGGAGUCACCCCUGGCUUGCUGUCACCUGCACAUCGUCUGCGCUGCUGCCCCGGACUACGAUCGAGUCACCCCGGGCGAUGGUGAUGCUGUGGCCAGUUCGGCGCAGCGACUUCGGCGGCCUCCUGCAUCCAGCUCACAACCCUCGGCGGCGGACAAAGGAGCCAGCGGUCACCGACAGCUACGGCGGCUCUUGCCAGCAGGGCGCGUCGGCGCGAGCGACGCUUGCUCGUAACGACUACUGCGUCGUCGUCUCCGGAGUCCUGGCCUGGGAUCGUGCCGUCGAGUCGCAAAGCUGCUGCUGUGACCGGCGGACGCCAGCGGUGUACCCCAAGGACAGUCGGCUCGCAUGUUACGGACAGCGUGUGGACAUUUCCCCGGUGCGGCCACUGUUGCAUGUACCACCUUGUUCGCGAAGCACGGGUUAAUGUUAGACCGUGUCACAUGUUUCGCCGGAAUAAGAAGUGAUUUAAGGUUGGGGGGAUGUGGGGAUGCGCGACCCUCGCGCCUCCCCUGAUGUUUUUCCCGCAUAGCGCGCCUCCUGUAGUGCGGCUUCGCCGCGUGGCCUGCGUGAUGCCCGCGGCGGUCGAGUGGUACAGGCGCGGUGCGAGAGAUGGCGCGACUGUCGCGCUGCUGCGGGGUUACUUGGGCGCCGAAAGGGAAGGCGCUUGGUCUCUUUGGGUUCGGGAAGCGAGCGCGACGGACGUGCCGCGCCGACGAUGCUUCUGCGAGACCGCCUCGCGUGGCGGCCUUCGAGCGCGCCUCCGUUGGCGUGACCGAACACGCGAACGACCAGGCGUUGGGAUCCAGCAUGGGGCGAACAUAUUCGCUCGCUCGCGCUUUGCUUCGUCCUGCUGUGUUCCGUGGCUGGGGUGUGCACGGACCAUCCUGAACAUGCCAGCUUCGUGCAGACCGACCAGACCAACAUGCAAGCUAUCAUGGUCGAAGAUUUGCACGUGCAAGAUGGUCUUCGCGAUUCACUGUGGGACUGCAGGAUACGUCACUCGACAGCGCCUGCGCAGUUGCACGACCAACAAGCAGCGCCUCACCACAGCACCCGUAUAAAAAGGCCUUCCUCGGCACUAUGGCUUUAUUGGGCACGGCAGCGCAGUUGCGAUGGUGGCAUCUAACCCUUUUGUCUUCGUCAUGCAGAUUGCAAUUCAUGCCUGCUGUUAUCGACGGUCUGGUGGACUCAAGUGGCAUCAACUGGAGUGACAUCAUCUGCUGGUUCAUGUCACAACUCAUGCCAGCUGUUAUCUGCACUCAUGUGAAGUCAAGCGACAUCUACCGGAGUGACCUCAGCCACCAAAUCAGAUACAAAAGGGGGUGCCCAUGUGCUCACCCGUCACUUGGCAGCAAGGGUUGCGGCAGCGAGCAAACAACAAAUUUUGUCCUGAUACUUUGUACAGGACGGUCCCGUGGAUGGUGGGCAAGCACAAGAAACAUCCGUACCGCUCGCCGGCCUCAAGCUAAAGAGGAAGAGCCUACUCCUUUCUGCACCCGAGUAACCCUGCCAUUAGGUAGCGUUAGCAGCUCAACACUUGCACAAUCUCUCGCACUACCCUGCAACCACACCGACCACUGCCGGUGCAAGGUCAUGUGGCGAAGCCAGAUUACAGGAGAUGCGAGCCACACGUGGAAAACAACUUCAGGGGAUGUGUGAGAGUUGAGCAUCCCCGCAGAGUUAAUAAACUUAACCUGUACGCAACCUGAAACAGCAGGCUGCUAUGAGCCUUGCACUGACACAAUUGCCUGAAAGGGUAUUUCAGGUUUGGGAGUCUUCACUGUGAACAAAAACCUGCAACUCGAGGUUUUUGGAAGUCUUCACCAAGGAAUGUAAGCAUUCAAGCUCGAGGUCCAACAACUUUUCUACAGUUCACUGCAAACUCGCAUUGCAGCUGAAAUCAAUCCUAGACAACUGGUCACAACAUUGAGCCUAAAAGCCUACAAUUGCACCUGGGAAGAACUGAUUGGCCAUUUGAUACGAAGGAGCACCAGUCAUGUUUCUUUCUUAGGUUGUCGCAGCUAAUAGAGAUAAUGGGUAAAUGAGACAACCACCCAAACGUAGCUAAGUGCUAGAAAGGUGCUACAUAGCUAAAUGCUACCUUUAUUAAUUACUCCUCUCCACCGUGUGGGUUUCCACAGAACUAUUAUGUCAAAGCUAAUAGGGAUGCUCAAGCAUAACAGCUUGGAUAAAAACUUGACUGUGCUGGUGCAGCUAUUGGUCACCUCACAAAUGCAUCCUACAAACAAGAUGUGGCUAACACUAUGGCCCUAUUUGAGCACAGAAGUGGUGGUCAGCAACUCUGUCUGGGCAUUCCAAGACACGUGCAGCAAGCCACCAACAGACAGCAAGAC